Serratia proteamaculans 568 is the source of this 180-nucleotide non-coding RNA. NCBI's taxonomy places the organism in Bacteria, Pseudomonadati, Pseudomonadota, Gammaproteobacteria, Enterobacterales, Yersiniaceae. The record is from Rfam.
UGUUGUCUUCGGACAACCACCAAUGCUCAGUGGGUCUGUGAUGAGCGCUUUCGGGUGACCCUGCUGUUAAUUGACAGCCACUAAUGAUCCCGUUACCUGUGAGGAUCGCCUUCGGGUGGUAACAAAAGAACACUUCCUGAGCCUGAGAGGGAGUACACAGUUUGACUGUGUGGUACAUCU